Molecule: long non-coding RNA, 533 nt
Organism: Atta colombica
Lineage: Eukaryota; Metazoa; Arthropoda; Insecta; Hymenoptera; Formicidae
Exons: 3
Source: RefSeq, a predicted model, not a curated record
GGAAUUUAAUUGUUAAUAUUAUAGCAAAAAUGAAAUGUCAUUUUUUAAACUUUAAUUUUUAAACGAAGAUUAUCAACUAAAACUUAUUGCAGGUCACUCAGAAUUAUGAUCUUAACAACAUGUCAAAAUCAAGAUCAUCAGAGUUGGGAUCAUCAAGCUCCCUUUUUGUCGAUAUUUAUCAUAAAUCAAAUUAAGAUUAACACAUGAUUGGAUUCAUGAUGUGUCCGUGAGCGUUCUUUUUCUUUUGAAAUAUUACAUACGCCUGGCUAAAUAAUAAUCUGUAUGUUUCUUAUUAAUGAUCUAUAUUCAUCUCUGAGUGCGAGUGCGGUGUAGUAGACAGCGCACUGAUAUAUUAGAGAUCCCGGGUUCAAUCCCCGGCAGAACCGAAAAAUUUUCAUAUGCUUGUAACUCCUCUCGGAAGGCAAUGGCAAACCACCGAGUAGUACUUUUGCCCAGGAAAUCUUCCUAUCAAAAAUUGCCAUUCGGAAUCGACGUUUAAGCUGUAGGUCCCCAUACUCUGCGUUGAAACCACU